ACAGCAGUGAUGAGCCUUUAACAUGUAAGAAGAAGUUCUUAGUUGGAUCUCUUCAAUGAAAUUUGCUUGUUACGCUUGGCUUCUGAGCUUU
Molecule: non-coding RNA, 91 nt
Organism: Glycine max (soybean)
Lineage: Eukaryota; Viridiplantae; Streptophyta; Magnoliopsida; Fabales; Fabaceae
Source: Rfam